GCCCUAGGGAUUCAGUUCCACA
This 22-nucleotide microRNA is filed under the name Ornithorhynchus anatinus (platypus). RNAcentral describes it as "oan-miR-146b-3p". Its record names the gene oan-miR-146b-3p. The record is from miRBase by way of RNAcentral. Lineage: Eukaryota; Metazoa; Chordata; Mammalia; Monotremata; Ornithorhynchidae.